This 395-nucleotide ribosomal RNA is filed under the name uncultured bacterium. RNAcentral describes it as "bacterial SSU rRNA". It matches the Rfam family "Bacterial small subunit ribosomal RNA", at positions 37 to 422 of the family's 1533-position model. The record is from RNAcentral.
GGCCGCGGGAAUUAGAUUCAGGCCUAACACAUGCAAGUCGAACGGCAGCACGGAGCUUGCUCUGGUGGCGAGUGGCGAACGGGUGAGUAAUAUAUCGGAACGUACCCUGGAGUGGGGGAUAACGUAGCGAAAGUUACGCUAAUACCGCAUCCGAUCUACGGAUGAAAGUGGGGGAUCGCAAGACCUCAUGCUCGUGGAGCGGCCGAUAUCUGAUUAGCUAGUUGGUAGGGUAAAAGCCUACCAAGGCAUCGAUCAGUAGCUGGUUUGAGAGGACGACCAGCCACACUGGAACUGAGACACGGUCCAGACUCCUACGGGAGGCAGCAGUGGGGAAUUUUGGACAAUGGGCGAAAGCCUGAUCCAGCAAAGGCGCGUGAGUGAAGAAGGCCUUCGGG